UACCCGCUGAACUUAAGCAUAUCAAUAAGCGGAGGAAAAGAAACCAACAGGGAUUACCUCAGUAACGGCGAGUGAAGCGGUAACAGCUCAAAUUUGAAAGCUGCCAACAGGCCGCGUUGUAAUUUGUAGAAGAUGCUUUGGGUGUUGGCCUAGUCUAAGUUCCUUGGAACAGGACGUCAUAGAGGGUGAGAAUCCCGUAUGUGAUUAGUGCUAUCUCCCGUGUAAAGCUCUUUCGACGAGUCGAGUUGUUUGGGAAUGCAGCUCAAAAUGGGUGGUAAAUUUCAUCUAAAGCUAAAUAUUGGCCAGAGACCGAUAGCGCACAAGUAGAGUGAUCGAAAGAUGAAAAGCACUUUGGAAAGAGAGUUAAACAGUACGUGAAAUUGUUGAAAGGGAAGCGCUUGCAAUCAGACUUGCGGGCGGUUGAUCAUCCGAGGUUCUCCCCGGUGCACUCGAUCGUCCUCAGGCCAGCAUCGGUUUCCGUGGUGGGAUAAAGGCUGUGAGAAUGUGGCUCUUCGGAGUGUUAUAGCUCACGGUGCAAUGCCACCUAUUGGGACCGAGGACCGCGCUUCGGCUAGGAUGCUGGCGUAAUGGUUGUAAGCGACCCGUCUUGAAACACGGACCAAGGAGUCUAACAUCUAUGCGAGUG
RNAcentral lists this ribosomal RNA (646 nucleotides) under Mollisia endocrystallina. RNAcentral's name for it is "partial large subunit ribosomal RNA". It matches the Rfam family "Eukaryotic large subunit ribosomal RNA", at positions 22 to 692 of the family's 3401-position model. Lineage: Eukaryota; Fungi; Ascomycota; Leotiomycetes; Helotiales; Mollisiaceae. The record is from RNAcentral.